RNAcentral lists this long non-coding RNA (206 nucleotides) under Olea europaea (common olive). Its description in RNAcentral is "long non-coding RNA (OEUR_LNC008803)". Lineage: Eukaryota; Viridiplantae; Streptophyta; Magnoliopsida; Lamiales; Oleaceae. The record is from RNAcentral.
UCUUUGAGCCUGAACUUCUGACGUGCAUUGUAGACGUGCCUCAUUGUGCUAACAUUUGUGUCAUCAUUUUGUUUCAAUGUAUAUAAUAUUUCCUUUGGUCUUACAUGAUUCUUUGACAUGUCUACUAAAAUUGAAGUCUCUUUCUCAGUUAAUCUCCCAGCAUAUGAAUGUCCUUCAAGGUUUUGGGCAAUGUCAUGAUUAUGUCU